UCUGCACAGGGAGGGAGAACACAGAAAUCAAACCGCACUGCUGCAAACCUGGGGCCUCUUCAGUGGCUGUGCUUACACCCUUCAAACACUCAUCAGUUCUUUGGGUGGCUCUUAACCCCUCAAAAAGCCCCAACCUAAUGUCAAAUUCCCAUCAAAAUACUAAUGUGUCCUGCACAUUCACUUCCCCUAUUAUUAUCAACUCAAUUCCUUUUCUUCCCCUAGGAGUCAAUUCAUAGUCAUGAAUAUAUUUGUUUCUUUGCAAUGUAACUCAAGCAAGCUGCAGCUUACAACAAAUAAGCUACAGAGCUUACUAUGUUCUGCAAUAAUAACAACAGAGUUUUAGGGCAAAAAACUUCAUGCAGGAUUCCUCUCCUACAAAAAUCAGCAAAUUAAACAAAUCAGACUCAGUUCAAAUUUGCAUUUUAAGUAAUCCUGACAGACUCCACCCUGAAAUUAAACUAUGGGGAGGUAAUCUCCUUUCAGGGUGUGGUCACAUCCUUAACUAACCACAACCUUGGAAUCCUCCUCUGGAGAGAAUGCUGCCAGCUGCUGGCUCUGUACACUCAGCCCAGAUGGUUCAGUGUGGAAGCAGACACGGACAACCCUGGAGCCUGUGGGGAAUCUGCUCACCUCAGUGCAUGAACACAAGGAAACCUCCUGUGCUCUUCCACAAUGUUUAAGUUUCAUUAAUAAUCUGGAGUCUGUGAAGCAGGCCCACUGGCUGUACUGGCCAUGAUCCUGCAAUAGGAGCACUGCUAACCAAGAUGCGGCAGAAUGUGCUAAGAAUGUACAAGUGAGUCAUCCCUCAAGGAUGCAAAGGUAGGUACCACAUGCAGAGAGAACCUUAUGUUUAUGCUUUAAAAAAAAAAA
Long non-coding RNA from Parus major (Great Tit), 870 nucleotides. RefSeq lists it as uncharacterized. The transcript has 2 exons. The record is from RefSeq and is a predicted model, not a curated record. NCBI's taxonomy places the organism in Eukaryota, Metazoa, Chordata, Aves, Passeriformes, Paridae.